AGCCUUAGGAAAUAAUCUAAGGUUAGACCUGCCCAAUGUAACUAUUAUAUCAAUGGCCGCGGUACUCUGACCGUGCUAAGGUAGCGCAAUCAAUUGGCCUUUAAUUAAGGUCAGGUAUGAAUGGAGUCACGGGGCUCAGCUGUCUCCUUAUUAAUCUAUUGAAUAUUACUAUAUAGGUGAAAAAGCCUAUAAGAAGAAAAGGGACGAGAAGACCCUUAGAGUUUCUCUUAAAACAGACAAUUAUCUGCAACAGUUUAGUUGGGGCAACUGAGGAACAAUUUAAAUUUCCUGUAAAAUAUUAACCGAUUCUUAUAAAACUGGAUAAACUACCUUAGGGAUAACAGCAUAAUUUCAUAUAUAAGUUUGUGACCUCGAUGUGGACUAGGAAACCUAAAGGCUAGCCGCCUUUAGGAUAAGUUCUGUUCGAACUAUUUAUUCCU
This 440-nucleotide ribosomal RNA is filed under the name Conualevia marcusi. RNAcentral's name for it is "partial 16S ribosomal RNA". It matches the Rfam family "Archaeal large subunit ribosomal RNA", at positions 1908 to 2666 of the family's 2987-position model. The record is from RNAcentral. Lineage: Eukaryota; Metazoa; Mollusca; Gastropoda; Nudibranchia; Conualeviidae.